RNAcentral lists this unclassified non-coding RNA (412 nucleotides) under fungal sp. RNAcentral's name for it is "partial internal transcribed spacer region". The stretch from base 1 to 46 matches the Rfam family "Eukaryotic small subunit ribosomal RNA", at positions 1786 to 1831 of the family's 1831-position model. The record is from RNAcentral. Lineage: Eukaryota; Fungi.
AAGUCGUAACAAGGUUUCCGUAGGUGAACCUGCGGAAGGAUCAUUAACACGUUAUCCACGUAUCACCAAAGAUAAACGUUUUCUACCGGAGGGGCAAACUGAACACGCGUAAGCCGUAGCUCGGGAGGAGGCUCGAAAUUGGGUAAAUCCAUGAUCGCCACGCUAUGGGUGCCACUCUCUGCAAGGGCUUGCUUUUUGGCGGCUCCGAUGGGUACUGUUGUAUUUGCUCCACAAGGCCACUUCUGAUGGGGAAAGCACCUCUUUGUAGACUCUAUCAGGAACGUUACUUUACAAUUCUAACCCCUUUUUGCUAGUUGACUUUUAUAUGUUGUUCUUUGCUUCGGCAAGGUUCACACGUUUAAUUAUUUGAACGUUAAAAAUACAACUCUUAGCAAUGGAUAUCUAGGUUCUC